AAUUGGACAGUCCAGAUUAUGGAUAACUGAGCAGGGAUUCUGCAGAAAGAAAAGCAAAUGUGAUUGCUCUACUAAGGUAAGAAUUCUACAGGGUGUGGG
This is a long non-coding RNA of Dipodomys spectabilis (banner-tailed kangaroo rat), 99 nucleotides long. RefSeq lists it as uncharacterized. NCBI's taxonomy places the organism in Eukaryota, Metazoa, Chordata, Mammalia, Rodentia, Heteromyidae. The transcript has 3 exons. The record is from RefSeq and is a predicted model, not a curated record.